UCAAACUUGGUCAUUUAGAGGAAGUAAAAGUCGUAACAAGGUCUCCGUUGGUGAACCAGCGGAGGGAUCAUUACCGAGUUUUAGAACUCCCAACCCACUGUGAAUCUUACCUACGUUGCUUCGGCAGGCCUAGCCUGCCGGAGGACACCCAAACUCUGUUAGUUUCAGGCGUCGUCUGAGUGUAACAUAAAAAAUGAAUCAAAACUUUCAACAACGGAUCUCUUGGUUCUGGCAUCGAUGAAGAACGCAGC
RNAcentral lists this unclassified non-coding RNA (251 nucleotides) under uncultured fungus. RNAcentral's name for it is "partial contains small subunit ribosomal RNA, internal transcribed spacer 1, and 5.8S ribosomal RNA". The stretch from base 1 to 73 matches the Rfam family "Eukaryotic small subunit ribosomal RNA", at positions 1759 to 1831 of the family's 1831-position model. Lineage: Eukaryota; Fungi. The record is from RNAcentral.